Long non-coding RNA from Helianthus annuus (common sunflower), 2713 nucleotides. RefSeq lists it as uncharacterized. The record is from RefSeq and is a predicted model, not a curated record. The transcript has 4 exons. NCBI's taxonomy places the organism in Eukaryota, Viridiplantae, Streptophyta, Magnoliopsida, Asterales, Asteraceae.
AGAAAAUGCUUAUGAUGACUCAGGUCGUUAAAAUUUCAACUAGUUAAAACCUACAAAACACAGACACCCAAAAACUAAUUUAUUCCUCCCAAAUCAUGAAAGCGUACUCUUCUUUCUCCGAACAAGGCCGGUGGAAUGAAUGGGGUGCUGGUUCCGUUAUACCCAAAACAACUGAAAAUGUUUGUCUCGUCAUGUAUCAAAUCGAGACUCCAGAUCUGCAGCAAUCAUCUCGGUAUAAUUUAGUCAUGUUCUCAGGCUUAUUCCUUUUCUUAACUCUUAAGCAUCUGAUUUGAAUAUAUUAUCCUCUUGUCAUAGUUAUCUCUAUUAUGUCGGUAGUGUGGCACAUGUUCCGUCUCUUCGCUCGACCCGUGAUUUAAAAUCAUUGUAUGUUAUUAUGCUUGUGAGUUUUAUUUAUGUUCUUCCUCGUUAAAGCUUUUGAAUGUGCUCUUUUGUUUUGUGAUUGUGAAUUAAGCUUUCCGAUUUAUUUAUUUCUUGAAAUUGGACACUAAUGGUGAUCAAACAUCCAUGACUAGAUAUGUUAGUUUUAUUUUUGGUAUAUGCACACAACUUGUUUGAUGAAAUUGCACUCAUGUAAGUUUUAUUUUUUUGUUGUAACCACAAUUUUGUUGCCACAAUACAAAUGUUAUACUGGAGUCACCUAUUUUGUUGGUAUUAUUUCUAUGAAUUAUUUUGUUGCUGGUGUUUCUAUCAGUUAUCAUGUGUAGAUUAGUGUGCAAAAGAAUGUCCUGUUUGAAGGGGGCAUAUACAUUCAAAAGUAGUAUGAUGCUAUUAGGGGCAGAGCUACUCUAUGCGUGACCCCAUGUGUUAACAGCGCAAGAAUGAUUAAAAAGCUUUGCUAGGUUGCAGUGGCAAGCACCAUUUUCCUUUAAUCAAGUUGCCAUGGUUCAAUUCUGGCUACCUUUUUCUUAUAUUUUUUUUUCAAAACCAUUCAGGUUGUGAACCGUAUAUAUUAUUGUAUUUACUAGGCUAUAAUUACAAGUAGAAUUCAAUAUGCAAAAAUUUCAAUUAACUUUUUUAGUAAUUUAUGUAAUAUGACUUUGUAGUGGUGGGGUAUGGAGGCUUAUUGUGAGGUAGAUGGUGGAUCAUAUAAGCGACUUUCUUUCGUUACAUUUAAAAUGGUUAUUUUGAUUUGAAUUAGAUUAGUUUAAAUGCUAAUAUAAUAGUACGUUAUGAUAUGUUAAUUUUUUUUUCUUAUUAGUGUAUCAUCCCGUGUGAUUUAUUUCAAAAGAAACUUGGCUUUCAACUGAUCUGAAUUAAAAGAUUUGUUGAUAUCUCUGUUAUAAUGAUUUUGUACAUCUGUAUCUUGAAUUGUACUCAACUUUAUAGUUGUUGUAUCAUUUUAUUAGAACAUAGGUUACAUAGCUAAAGAUUUGUUUAUGGUAAAGUAGGACAGAUGUAAAAGGUUCUUUUUUUUAUCAGAUGAGGUAAUUGCCAAUGCUGCAUACAUUAGCACACAUGGCAAGCGUAUUCUUGUUGCUGAUGAGUCAACUGGUACCAUUAGUAAACGUUUAUGCAGCAUAAAUGUUUAGAUUGUUGAGUCGAAAGUGAAUGCUAGGAACAUGUAAAACAUCAAACGUUUAGAAAAUCAAGUCAGCAGAACUAAUAAAAAGGUUUAGGACAUUGAAGGGUUGUGUGGUUUAGUCUCAACAAACGGGAGUACUUUUGAUUAUUGUAGACACUGUAUGGCGAGACAUGAAGUUGUCAGGGACAAACACCAAAAGGUACCUGAUACUAAUUUUUCUAGUAUUUGUUCUUCUUUGUAUCAUCUUAAUUUUUUGUUGUUACAGGAUAAGCGCCUUAUGUUUUGUUUUUAGAAAUCUAGCAACACUUCCAUGUCAUAGCAUUUCUAUGUAUUCAGAAUAUGUUUCGUCUUGGGCAGUUGGUAUUACAACUUUGUGUGGUGAUAUGGACUGGUUUGGUAACAUACUUUUGUGCUGGUCAACGGGUUGGAUUGGAUUUCUCUCUCUCUUUAUCUUUCUCUCGGUGUAAACUAUAUUAAUAAUCUAGUUUUUUUAAUGAAGCAAUUUAUGAGAUUGCAUGCACUAAAAGUACACGUUGGGCGGUUUGAACCUUUUUUUUUUGUUUUUAAGUUAAAGUUGUACCAUGCUUAGGGACCUAACAUAACUUGUUGAAAAUUGACAUUUGUUGUUGGUUUGUAGUGUGGCUCUGGAAGAUCAGUUGCUCAAAUCAAGGCUGGUUGCGUGGCUUGUUUGGGCCGUAGAAAGGGGGAACAUAAUUUAUCAAGAUUCUAUCUUCUGUGAUGUGUGUGGUGAAGGAGUGUUGUUAUAAUAUUUUUUUUGUGAUACAAGAUUACAUCUUCCAUGGGUAUCGGUUGCACGAUGUACUCAUUUAUGAUCUCAGCUGGUUAAACAUAGCAAUUAGGAUUCCUAUUAUCCUAAAUGCACCUAAGAAAAACUGACUUAUUAAAUGCUCAAGUAUACUUUGUGCAGACAAUGUAAGGCGAGACAAGCAGCUGUUGUCAAGGACGAAACAAGAAACACCACAAAAGGGCAAAUAUCAUGAGAAGUUUUGGAGCUAAGUUUUAUCAUAGUGAAAUUCUCACCUAAAAGAACGUUUAGACUCUUCGUGUAAACAUUUGGAAUAUGUUACUUAUUACACAAUGUUUUGCUAACAUUAGGAAUAUGUUUCAAAUUGAACUUAUUAUUGAAGUUAUAAUAUUAUGAUUUCUACA